Molecule: long non-coding RNA, 566 nt
Organism: Capsicum annuum
Lineage: Eukaryota; Viridiplantae; Streptophyta; Magnoliopsida; Solanales; Solanaceae
Exons: 2
Source: RefSeq, a predicted model, not a curated record
GACGAAUUUGUUUGAAUUUCGGUGAAGCAGGAUCGAAUUUUCAGUGGUGGAGGUUCGCCAUGUUAAUCUCGUUGUCCCGUUCGCUGUCCGGAAGAAGAAUCAGAGGCGAAUCCAGGAUUCGGGUGCAUCAUUGUCUUUACAUAAGCCAUGAGAAUCUUCCAAUGACGAAUGAGGGAUAUUGUUGUAUCAAACUUACUCCUACAUCUUUUCGGGAUCAAGUCCCAAAAAAUCCUCAAAGGGACUAAUCCAUGAAGAAAUUGGGCUGGUAUAAAGCUGUAUACAUAUUGAGCAGUAUACAUAGGAUAUACAGUCAAAAACGGGAGGUCAAGUUGGCGUGCAGGUGGAAGAACAAAAUAUAUGCAUAUGGGGCUGGUAUACAAUCUGAUAUACAUCAGAUCAAAAACGCCGGGGGAAAAUAGCCACAGUAUACAGAUGAUAUACACUGAGAUUACUCUUCCUUUAUUUCCUAUUCUUAUUUAUUUGUAUUUACUUGAACAUCCUAACUAAUUAAUCUAGAUAAAUCUCCUAAGACGUUAGCAUUUUAUUUUAUCACAGCUUCUAGUCAA